AUUGAACGCUGGCGGCAGGCCUAACACAUGCAAGUCGAGCGGGUGAAGGGAGCUUGCUCCUGGAUUCAGCGGCGGACGGGUGAGUAAUGCCUAUGAAUCUGCCUGGUAGUGGGGGAUAACGUCCGGAAACGGGCGCUAAUACCGCAUACGUCCUGAGGUAGAAAGUGGGGGAUCUUCGGAUCUCACGCUAUCAGAUGAGCCUAGGUCGGAUUAGCUAGGUGGUGGGGUAAAGGCCUAAAAAGGCGACGAUCCGUAACUGGUCUGAGAGGAUGAUCAGUCACACUGUAUCUGAGACUCAGCACAGACACCGACAGGAGGCAGCAGUGCGGAAUAUUGGGCGAUGGACGAAUGCCUGAUCCAGCCAUGUCGCGUGAGUCCAGAAGCUCUACUGAUUGUAAAGCAAUUAAAGUUUGGAGGUAGUAAAGUAAGUUUAUACCGUGUUGUUUUGACAGUACCAACAGAAUAAGCUCCGGCUAACUCCGUG
Molecule: ribosomal RNA, 484 nt
Filed under: uncultured bacterium
Lineage: Bacteria
Description: partial 16S ribosomal RNA
Rfam family: Bacterial small subunit ribosomal RNA
Source: RNAcentral